AGGGUUCGAUCAUGGCUCAGGAUGAACGCUGGCGGCGUGCUUAACACAUGCAAGUCGAACGAACCUUCGGGUUAGUGGCGGACGGGUGAGUAACGCGUGAGAAUCUGCCCUCAGGAGGGGGAUAACGGUUGGAAACGACCGCUAAUACCCCAUAUGCCUAUGGGUGAAAUGAAUUUCGCCUGAGGAUGAGCUCGCGUCUGAUUAGCUAGUUGGUGAGGUAAUGGCUCACCAAGGCUUCGAUCAGUAGCUGGUCUGAGAGGAUGAUCAGCCACACUGGGACUGAGACACGGCCCAGACUCCUACGGGAGGCAGCAGUGGGGAAUUUUCCGCAAUGGGCGAAAGCCUGACGGAGCAACGCCGCGUGAGGGACGAAGGCCUCUGGGCUGUAAACCUCUUUUCUCAAGGAAGAAGAUAUGACGGUACUUGAGGAAUAAGCCACGGCUAAUUCCGUGCCAGCCGCCGCGGUAAUUC
This 471-nucleotide ribosomal RNA is filed under the name uncultured bacterium. Its description in RNAcentral is "bacterial SSU rRNA". It matches the Rfam family "Bacterial small subunit ribosomal RNA", at positions 8 to 526 of the family's 1533-position model. The record is from RNAcentral.